This 728-nucleotide ribosomal RNA is filed under the name unidentified archaeon. Its description in RNAcentral is "partial 16S ribosomal RNA". The record is from RNAcentral.
GUAUCUAAUCCGGUUCGUGCCCCUAGCUUUCGUCCCUUGCCGUCAGGUCCGUUCUGGUGAGACGCCUUCGCCACUGGUGUCCUUCAAGGAUUACAAGAUUUCACCCCUACCCCUGAAGUACCUCUCACCUCUCCCGGCCUCGAGCCAGACAGUAUCUCCUGAAAGCCUGACAGUUAAGCUGCCAGAUUUCUCAAGAGACUUAUCCGGCCGGCUACAGACCCUUUAGACCCAAUAAUAACGGUUACCACUCGAGCCGCCGGUGUUACCGCGGCGGCUGGCACCGGUCUUGCCCGGCCCUUGCUAUGAAAUGCUUUUUAGGCAUCUCGACAGCCAGAUUUGUAACCUGGCACUCGAGGUUCCCUUAUCGCUGUUGCCAGCAUUGUAAAGUUUUCGCGCCUGCUGCACCCCGUAGGGCCUGGAUUUCGUGUCUCAGAAUCCAUCUCCGGGCUCUUGCUCUCACAACCCGUACCCGUCGUAGGCUAGUAGGUACGCUACACCCACUACUACCUGAUAGGCCGCAGACCCAUCCUUAGGCGCCGGAGCUUUUAAUCUCGGUGCAUUCCAGCAGCCGAGACUUAUAGGGGAUUAUACCCAGUUUCCCGGGUUUAUACCCAACCUAAGGGCAGGUCGUCCACGUGUUACUGAGCAGUACGCCAUGUAUUGCUACAUUCGACUCGCAUGGCUUAGUCGAACCUCGAUAGCAGUAACCUCUGGCAGGAUCAACCGGA